RNAcentral lists this ribosomal RNA (379 nucleotides) under uncultured bacterium. RNAcentral's name for it is "bacterial SSU rRNA". It matches the Rfam family "Bacterial small subunit ribosomal RNA", at positions 28 to 404 of the family's 1533-position model. The record is from RNAcentral.
GACGAACGCUGGCGGCGUGCUUAACACAUGCAAGUCGAGCGGUAAGGCCCUUUCGGGGGUACACGAGCGGCGAACGGGUGAGUAACACGUGGGUGACCUGCCCUCAGCUCUGGGAUAAGCCUGGGAAACCGGGUCUAAUACCGGAUAUGACUCCAUGACGCAUGUUGUGGGGUGGAAAGCCUUGUGCGGCUGAGGAUGGGCCCGCGGCCUAUCAGCUUGUUGGUGGGGUGAUGGCCUACCAAGGCGACGACGGGUAGCCGGCCUGAGAGGGCGACCGGCCACACUGGGACUGAGACACGGCCCAGACUCCUACGGGAGGCGAGCAGGUGGGGUAAUUUUGCGCAAGUGGGCGAAAGCCUGACGCAGCGACGCCGCGUGA